UGCCAGCCGCCGCGGUAAUACGGAGGGUGCGAGCGUUAAUCGGAAUCACUGGGCGUAAAGCGUACGUAGGUGGCAAAGUCAGUCAGGCGUGAAAGCCCUCGCCUCAACCGAGGAAUUGCGUUUGAUACUACUUUGCUAGAGUCUCGGAGAGGUUGGCGGAAUUCCAGGUGUAGGAGUGAAAUCCGUAGAUAUCUGGAGGAACACCAGUGGCGAAGGCGGCUAACUGGCUCGGUACUGACGCUGAGAUGCGAAAGCGUGGGGAGCAAACAGGAUUAGAUA
Molecule: ribosomal RNA, 279 nt
Filed under: uncultured bacterium
Lineage: Bacteria
Description: partial 16S ribosomal RNA
Rfam family: Bacterial small subunit ribosomal RNA
Source: RNAcentral